Molecule: long non-coding RNA, 1486 nt
Filed under: Meleagris gallopavo (turkey)
Lineage: Eukaryota; Metazoa; Chordata; Aves; Galliformes; Phasianidae
Description: lncRNA (ENSMGAG00000018781.1)
Source: RNAcentral
CGUGGCGGUGGGGCUUUGCGGGGCCGCCCCCAGCCCGGCGGCGCUGCGAUGAGCGCCGUUCUGUCCUGUCUGCCACCGUGGCCGAAUCCCAGCUCUGAUCCCAACCUGGGACCGCAGGAGGGUCCCGGUGGGACAUGAGCUGAGGACCCCCUUGCAGCCCCCAUUGCGGACCCCCUGGGCUCAGUGUCACCGUGUCACACGGCCCGGCCCACGCUGUGACAUCUCACCCGGACAAAAGGUCCUCGUCUCCCCGCGCUCCACCAUGGAGGAGGGCCGUGGAGUGGUGGUGGGUGCCCACCUGGGACCCCCACCCCACCCCAACUUCUGGGGCUGGCAUCACCCCGGCACCGUGCCCACCCCAUUCACCGUGCCCACCAUGCCCACCCCACACACCCUCCUGCCCCCACCCCCCAUACAGUGCCAGAACCCUGGCACAGGGGCAUUGCAGUGCCCGCACACCCCAGAUGGAAGGAACGUUUCUGAGUGGAUGAGCAGCUGCAGUGACCCCCCCAGGCCCGGCUACGCCCCACGCAGUGACACGGACCCACAGGGACCGCCCGUUCCUCUUUCUGAGCACGGACAGCUGGCUGCAGGCGGAGCCAUGGGGCGCCCCAUAGCAAUGCUGCUGCUCCUGCUGCUGCUUCCCCACGGCAUCGGGGCCACCACCUCGCAGCCCCCGCUGCUGCCGUGCAGCUGCGACGCGGUGGGCAAAGCGCCGGACUCGUGCCCCAGUGCUGAUUGCCUCUGUGCUAUGGACCACCAACCCGUCAACGCCUCCGAUUUCCACGCACGGGAGUGUCAGGGCAACGUGGGGAUGGUGGCUGUGGCCGUGGAUGCGGUGGUGGUGGGAGUGGGGGUGGGAGUGGGGCUGGUGGUGGUGGGGGUGGUGGUGGGGGUCGUGGUUUGGCGGUGCCGGAGGACGACGGGCACGACGGGGUGGGGGAAGCGGGAGCCCCCUGCAGCCCAUGGGCAGCCCCGCUAUGUCAGCCGUGAGGCGGAGAGCAGCCCUGCUGCCGUGGGGGUGUGCCUGGCUCCCGACUACGAGAACGUCUUCGUCGGCUCCUACAUGGCCUCCAGCGCAGCCCCGGUGCAGGAUGGGGAGCAUGGGUGUCAGCAGGGGGGGUACAGCCCCCAGGCACCGCCGGACGAUCUCUAUUUCAUGGAGAGCGACGCAGGGGAGCAGCCCAUCUACGCCAACACCGGGACCCCCAGAGAGGACAUCUAUGUCAGCCCCGACCCAGCAAAACGGCUGCGCGGCCGUUUCCUGCGCGGGGCUGAGGGCGGAAGCGGCCGCUUCUCCUUGGGGUUUGCACUGCGAAAUGGGGACGGGGCAGUGGGACACGGCGGUCCCUGCACGUCGCUCCCGAGCUCCGCGUGACACCCGGACUGACGGCCUCAAACGCUUCCGGCGCUGCCCUCUGUGAAAUCCGACAGUCUGGGACAAAAGCGCCGUUUUUGGACGCUGCUGGCAGCGUGUGGCUGCGAG